GAUGAACGCUGGCGGCGUGCCUAAUACAUGCAAGUCGAGCGAACAGACGAGGAGCUUGCUCCUCUGACGUUAGCGGCGGACGGGUGAGUAACACGUGGAUAACCUACCUAUAAGACUGGGAUAACUUCGGGAAGCCGGAGCUAAUACCGGAUAAUAUAUUGAACCGCAGGGUUCAAUAGUGAAAGACGGUUUUGCUGUCACGUAUAGAUGGAUCCGCGCCGCAUUAGCUAGUUGGUAAGGUAACGGCUUACCAAGGCGACGAUGCGUAGCCGACCUGAGAGGGUGAUCGGCCACACUGGAACUGAGACACGGUCCAGACUCCUACGGGAGGCAGCAGUAGGGAAUCUUCCGCAAUGGGCGAAAGCCUGACGGAGCAACGCCGCGUGAGUGAUGACGGUCUUCGGAUCGUAAAACUCUGUUAUUAGGGAAGAACAAAUGUGUAAGUAACUAUGCACGUCUUGACGGUACCUAAUCAGAAAGCCACGGCUAACUACGUG
This 497-nucleotide ribosomal RNA is filed under the name uncultured bacterium. Its description in RNAcentral is "partial 16S ribosomal RNA". It matches the Rfam family "Bacterial small subunit ribosomal RNA", at positions 28 to 507 of the family's 1533-position model. The record is from RNAcentral.